UACGUAGGGUGCGAGCGUUAAUCGGAAUUACUGGGCGUAAAGCGUGCGCAGGCGGUUUUGUAAGCCAGAUGUGAAAUCCCCGGGCUUAACCUGGGAAUGGCAUUUGGGACUGCAAGGCUUGAGUGCGGCAGAGGAGACUGGAAUUCCUGGUGUAGCAGUGAAAUGCGUAGAGAUCAGGAGGAAUACCGAUGGCGAAGGCAGGUCUCUGGGCUGAUACUGACGCUCAUGCACGAAAGCGUGGGGAGCAAACAGG
Molecule: ribosomal RNA, 253 nt
Filed under: uncultured bacterium
Lineage: Bacteria
Description: partial 16S ribosomal RNA
Rfam family: Bacterial small subunit ribosomal RNA
Source: RNAcentral